GCCGGAAUAGCUCAGCUGGUAGAGCAACGCAUUCGUAAUGCGUGGGUCGGGGGUUCGAUUCCCUCUUCCGGCA
This 73-nucleotide transfer RNA is filed under the name Rhodanobacter sp. SCN 66-43. RNAcentral describes it as "tRNA-Thr". It matches the Rfam family "tRNA". Rfam says of the family: Transfer RNA (tRNA) molecules are approximately 80 nucleotides in length. RNAcentral also lists the same sequence under 7 other names. Lineage: Bacteria; Pseudomonadati; Pseudomonadota; Gammaproteobacteria; Lysobacterales; Rhodanobacteraceae. The record is from RNAcentral.